Non-coding RNA from Ictidomys tridecemlineatus (thirteen-lined ground squirrel), 72 nucleotides. The record is from Rfam. Lineage: Eukaryota; Metazoa; Chordata; Mammalia; Rodentia; Sciuridae.
GUGGAUGUAGCUCAGUGGUAGUGUUUAUGCAUAGCAUGUGUGAGGCCCUGGGUUCAGACCCCAGCACCCACC